UUGAAACUCAAAGGAAUUGACGGGGGCCCGCACAAGCGGUGGAGUAUGUGGUUUAAUUCGAAGCAACGCGAAGAACCUUACCAGGGCUUGACAUCCCGAUGACCGCUGUAGAGAUACAGUUUUCCUUCGGGACAUCGGUGACAGGUGGUGCAUGGUUGUCGUCAGCUCGUGUCGUGAGAUGUUGGGUUAAGUCCCGCAACGAGCGCAACCCUUAUUGUUAGUUGCUACGCAAGAGCACUCUAGCGAGACUGCCGUUGACAAAACGGAGGAAGGUGGGGACGACGUCAAAUCAUCAUGCCCCUUAUGUCCUGGGCCACACACGUACUACAAUGGUGGUCAACAGAGGGAAGCAAAACCGCGAGGUGGAGCAAAUCCCUAAAAGCCAUCCCAGUUCGGAUCGCAGGCUGCAACCCGCCUGCGUGAAGUUGGAGUCGCUAGUAAUCGCGGAUCAGCAUGCCGCGGUGAAUACGUUCCCGGGCCUUGUACACACCGCCCGUCACACCAUGAGAGUCGGGAACACCC
RNAcentral lists this ribosomal RNA (522 nucleotides) under uncultured Bacillota bacterium. Its description in RNAcentral is "bacterial SSU rRNA". It matches the Rfam family "Bacterial small subunit ribosomal RNA", at positions 894 to 1422 of the family's 1533-position model. Lineage: Bacteria; Bacillati; Bacillota. The record is from RNAcentral.